This 1089-nucleotide long non-coding RNA is filed under the name Sorghum bicolor (sorghum). RNAcentral's name for it is "long non-coding RNA (SBIC_LNC001044)". Lineage: Eukaryota; Viridiplantae; Streptophyta; Magnoliopsida; Poales; Poaceae. The record is from RNAcentral.
CCCUUAGGAGCUUGUCAUGUGGUUAAAUCAAGAUUUCACUUGCACGUUCACUCAUAUAUGCUACUUCUACUCCGGAAGUACCAUCCACAUAUAUCCAUCCAUUUCCAUCUCCAGAAUUACCCAAAAAUAUUCUACUCCUAAUCCGGGAGAGAAUAGCCAAAAAUAUUUCUGUUUUCCCCUUGUGAAAUAAAUGCUCAAGUUAUCUUGUUACUACCACUUGCUAUAUUAUCUCAAGAGAUGAGUGCUCUAAUAAAAAAAAUAUACGAGGAAAUAAAAAGGAGCAAGUGCUCGGAACCUCGAAAGAAAAGAAAAGUGAGACGAGAGGUAAAAAUGGACAAGUGUCCGACAGUAGAAUUAGGGGUACAAGAUACCCACCUGAGAGAAAAGAAAAAUAUAGAGCAUCUCAUUCUCCUCAUAAAGUUUCAAAAAGCAAGGAAGGUAUGUAUCCCCUCAAAAGAGCAAAAGUAGAAUUAGACUUCCACCACCAUUGUUUUCACCAUUGUUAUCACCAUCAUCACCAUACACCAUUCAUUCGCCACACAUGCACAUCUUGAUUUGGCUUAUUGAUUUGUUUCUUUGGAUCCAUGGUUUGAUUAUGCAAUAAAUGUCUUGUAAGUAUGUAUACUUUAUCUCCCACCUAUGAGCUCCAGAUAUUAAAGCCUUAUUAGAGUAGGGUGAGAGAGAAGGCAAUGUCACUAUGCCUCAUACCACAAAUACUACAUAUCUUGAGAGAAGGCAUAUACCAUCAAUGCCUUGGCAAGGAUCCAAAAAUACCACAAAAGAGAGACCUGAGAGAAUUAUACAAGGAAUUUCUGAGUUUUAUUUGAAAAUCUGCAAAAAAACCCUAGAGCUAUAGCUGAUCAAGAAUAAGAGACAUGGCACUUGGCUAGACUGUUCUAUCUUUUAACCACUCAAGACAUAAGUGACAGUUACAAGUCCCAUGGUGAAGGUAAAGUAAGUAAGUUUUAAGUCUUGACAGUUUACUUUUACUCAGAGAUGAUAUCUUAUUUAAAAGCAUAUGUACCGUCAUUUUUUUUAAAAAAAAAGAUAUUGCAACUACUUAUGAUCCAUAGCUGAGUCUAUCCUUGC